RNAcentral lists this ribosomal RNA (253 nucleotides) under uncultured bacterium. RNAcentral describes it as "partial 16S ribosomal RNA". It matches the Rfam family "Bacterial small subunit ribosomal RNA", at positions 524 to 776 of the family's 1533-position model. The record is from RNAcentral.
UACAGAGGGGGCAAGCGUUAUUCGGAAUUAUUGGGCGUAAAGGGCGCGUAGGCGGCCUGGCAAGUGGAAGGUGAAAUCCCUCGGCUUAACCGAGGAACUGCCCUCCAAACUGCUUGGCUUGAGUCCGGGAGAGGUGAGUGGAAUUCCCAGUGUAGCGGUGAAAUUCGUAGAUAUUGGGAAGAACACCAGUGGCGAAGGCGGCUCACUGGACCGACACUGACGCUGAGGCGCGAAAGCGUGGGGAGCAAACAGG